UACGUAGGGCGCAAGCGUUAUCCGGAAUUAUUGGGCGUAAAGGGCGCGUAGGCGGUUUGACAAGUCAAAGGUGAAAUCCCUCGGCUCAACUGAGGAACUGCCUUUGAAACUGUCUGGCUUGAGGCCGGGAGGGGGUAGCGGAAUUCCCAGUGUAGCGGUGAAAUGCGUAGAUAUCUGGAGGAACACCGGUGGCGAAGGCGGCGUCCUGGACCAACACUGACACUGAUGAGCGAAAGCCAGGGGAGCAAACGGG
This 253-nucleotide ribosomal RNA is filed under the name uncultured bacterium. RNAcentral describes it as "partial 16S ribosomal RNA". It matches the Rfam family "Bacterial small subunit ribosomal RNA", at positions 524 to 776 of the family's 1533-position model. The record is from RNAcentral.